This 1237-nucleotide ribosomal RNA is filed under the name metagenome. Its description in RNAcentral is "bacterial LSU rRNA". It matches the Rfam family "Bacterial large subunit ribosomal RNA", at positions 1564 to 2810 of the family's 2925-position model. The record is from RNAcentral.
UGAAUACGAGACACUAAGGUGUUGAAGUAGUGUAUGUCAUACUUCCAAGAAAAGCUUGCACUGUCAUAAAUGAAAAAUGCCUGUACCAUAACCGACACAGGUGGGUAGGUAGAGUAUACUAAGGGGCGCGAGAUAACUCUCUCUAAGGAACUCGGCAAAAUAACUCCGUAACUUCGGGAGAAGGAGUGCCUUAUUUAUAAGGUUGCAAUAACAAGAUCCAAGCAACUGUUUAUCAAAAACACAGGUCUCCGCUAAGUCGUAAGACGAUGUAUGGGGGCUGACGCCUGCCCAGUGCCAGAAGGUUAAAGAGGUUGGUUAGCAAUAGCGAAGCUGGUAACUGAAGCCCUGGUGAACGGCGGCCGUAACAAUAACGGUCCUAAGGUAGCGAAAUUCCUUGUCGGGUAAGUUCCGACCCGCACGAAAGGCGUAAUGAUUUGGAUACUGUCUCGGAGAGGGGCUCGGUGAAAUAGACUUGUCUGUGAAGAUGCGGACUACCUGCACCAGGACAGAAAGACCCUAUGAAGCUUUACUGUAACUUGAAAUUGAAAUUGGACUUUAUUCGCGCAGCAUAGGUGGGAGGCGUUGAUUAUAAUCUCGCGGGAUUAUUGGAGCCAUCAGUGAGAUACCACUCUUGUAAUGUUAGAUUUCUAACUUUGAAUCAUUAUCUGGUCAAAGGACAGUUUCAGGCGGGCAGUUUGACUGGGGCGGUCGCCUCCUAAACGGUAACGGAGGCGUACAAAGGUUUCCUCUGAACGGUUAGAAAUCGUAUCUAGAGUGUAAAGGCAUAAGGAAGCUUGACUGUGAGACCUACAAGUCGAGCAGGGACGAAAGUCGGUCUUAGUGAUCUGACGGUACUGAGUGGAAAGGCCGUCACUCAACGGAUAAAAGUUACUCUAAGGAUAACAGGCUGAUCUCCCCCAAGAGUUCACAUCGACGGGGAGGUUUGGCACCUCGAUGUCGGCUCAUCGCAUCCUGGGGCGGUAGUACGUCCCAAGGGUUGGGCUGUUCGCCCAUGAAAGCGGUACGCGAGCUGGGUUCAGAACGUCGUGAGACAGUUCGGUCCAUAUCCGGUGUAGGCGUUAGAAUAUUGAGAGGAGCCUUCUUUAGUACGAGAGGACCGAGAAGGACAUACCUCUGGUGUACCAGUUAUCGUGCCAACGGUAAACGCUGGGUAGCUAUGUAUGGAGUGGAUAACCGCUGAAAGCAUCUAAGUGGGAAGCCCACCUCAAGAUAAGUA